AAAACAACUUUCAACAACGGAUCUCUUGGCUCUCGCAUCGAUGAAGAACGCAGCGAAAUGCGAUAAGUAAUGUGAAUUGCAGAAUUCAGUGAAUCAUCGAAUCUUUGAACGCACCUUGCGCUCCUUGGUAUUCCGAGGAGCAUGCCUGUUUGAGUGUC
This 158-nucleotide ribosomal RNA is filed under the name Gloeophyllum sepiarium. RNAcentral's name for it is "5.8S ribosomal RNA". It matches the Rfam family "5.8S ribosomal RNA". Rfam says of the family: 5.8S ribosomal RNA (5.8S rRNA) is a component of the large subunit of the eukaryotic ribosome. It is transcribed by RNA polymerase I as part of the 45S precursor that also contains 18S and 28S rRNA. Lineage: Eukaryota; Fungi; Basidiomycota; Agaricomycetes; Gloeophyllales; Gloeophyllaceae. The record is from RNAcentral.